This 492-nucleotide ribosomal RNA is filed under the name uncultured bacterium. RNAcentral describes it as "partial 16S ribosomal RNA". It matches the Rfam family "Bacterial small subunit ribosomal RNA", at positions 29 to 507 of the family's 1533-position model. The record is from RNAcentral.
AGUGAACGCUGGCGGUAGGCCUAACACAUGCAAGUCGAACGGCAGCACAUUAAGAGCUUGCUCUUACGGGUGGCGAGUGGCGGACGGGUGAGGAAUACAUCGGAAUCUACUUUUUCGUGGGUUAUAACGUAGGGAAACUUACGCUAAUACCGCAUACGACCUACGGGUGAAAGCAGUGGAUCUUCGUACCUUGCUCGAUUGAAUGAUCCGAUGUCGGAUUAGCUAGUUGGCGGGGUAAAGGCCCACCAAGGCGACGAUCCGUAGCUGGUCUGAGAGGAGGAUAAGCCACACUGGAACUGAGACACGGUCCAGACUCCUACGGGAGGCAGCAGUGGGGAAUAUUGGAAAAUGGGCGCAAGCCUGAUCCAGCAAUACCGCGUGGGUGAAGAAGGCAUUCGGGUUGUAAAGCACUUUUGUUGGGAAAGAAAAGCAGCAGGUUAAUAACCAGAUGUUCUGACGGUACCCAAAGAAUAAGCACCGGCUAACUUCGUG